GCAUUGAUGGUGUAGCGGUAACAUGCGGUCUUCCCAUGGCCGCGCUCCGAGUUCGACUCUCGGUCAAUGCA
Molecule: transfer RNA, 71 nt
Filed under: Serpula lacrymans var. lacrymans S7.9
Lineage: Eukaryota; Fungi; Basidiomycota; Agaricomycetes; Boletales; Serpulaceae
Also listed under: 1 other name
Description: tRNA-Gly (CCC) (tRNA-Gly-CCC-1-1)
Rfam family: tRNA
About the family: Transfer RNA (tRNA) molecules are approximately 80 nucleotides in length. Their secondary structure includes four short double-helical elements and three loops (D, anti-codon, and T loops).
Source: RNAcentral